RNAcentral lists this ribosomal RNA (274 nucleotides) under uncultured bacterium. RNAcentral's name for it is "partial 16S ribosomal RNA". It matches the Rfam family "Bacterial small subunit ribosomal RNA", at positions 523 to 796 of the family's 1533-position model. The record is from RNAcentral.
AUACGGAGGGUGCAAGCGUUAAUCGGAAUUGCUGGGCGUAAAGCGCGCGUAGGCGGUUUGGUAAGUCGGAUGUGAAAGCCCCGGGCUCAACCUGGGAAUUGCAUUCGAUACUGCCAGACUAGAGUAUGGUAGAGGGAAGUGGAAUUCCGGGUGUAGCGGUGAAAUGCGUAGAUAUCCGGAGGAACACCAGUGGCGAAGGCGACUUCCUGGACCAAUACUGACGCUGAGGUGCGAAAGCGUGGGGAGCAAACAGGAUUAGAAACCCUAGUAGUCC